UCCCAGACUCCUACGGGAGGCAGCAGUGAGGAAUAUUGGUCAAUGGGCGCGAGCCUGAACCAGCCAAGUCGCGUGAGGGAUGACGGCCCUACGGGUUGUAAACCUCUUUUGUCGGGGAGCAAAUUCCGUUACGUGUAACGGAGUCGAGAGUACCCGAAGAAAAAGCAUCGGCUAACUCCGUGCCAGCAGCCGCGGUAAUACGGAGGAUGCGAGCGUUAUCCGGAUUUAUUGGGUUUAAAGGGUGCGUAGGCGGAAGGUUAAGUCAGCGGUAAAAUGUCGGGGCUCAACACCGGCCUGCCGUUGAAACUGGUCUUCUUGAGUGAGCGAGAAGUAUGCGGAAUGCGUGGUGUAGCGGUGAAAUGCAUAGAUAUCACGCAGAACUCCGAUUGCGAAGGCAGCAUACCGGCGCUCAACUGACGCUGAGGCACGAAAGCGUGGGGAUCGAACAGGAUUAGAUACCCUUGUA
RNAcentral lists this ribosomal RNA (466 nucleotides) under uncultured bacterium. RNAcentral's name for it is "bacterial SSU rRNA". It matches the Rfam family "Bacterial small subunit ribosomal RNA", at positions 329 to 792 of the family's 1533-position model. The record is from RNAcentral.